This 285-nucleotide ribosomal RNA is filed under the name uncultured bacterium. Its description in RNAcentral is "partial 16S ribosomal RNA". It matches the Rfam family "Bacterial small subunit ribosomal RNA", at positions 28 to 313 of the family's 1533-position model. The record is from RNAcentral.
GACGAACGCUGGCGGCGUGCUUAACACAUGCAAGUCGAGCGGUAAGGCCCUUUCGGGGGUACACGAGCGGCGAACGGGUGAGUAACACGUGGGUGACCUGCCCUCAGCUCUGGGAUAAGCCUGGGAAACCGGGUCUAAUACCGGAUAUGACUCCAUGACGCAUGUUGUGGGGUGGAAAGCCUUGUGCGGCUGAGGAGUGGGCCCGCGGCCUAUCAGCUUGUUGGUGGGGUGAUGGCCUACCAAGGCGACGACGGGUAGCCGGCCUGAGAGGGCGACCGGCCACAC